GAUGAACGCUGGCGGCGUGCCUAAUACAUGCAAGUCGAGCGAACGGACGAGAAGCUUGCUUCUCUGAUGUUAGCGGCGGACGGGUGAGUAACACGUGGAUAACCUACCUAUAAGACUGGGAUAACUUCGGGAAACCGGAGCUAAUACCGGAUAAUAUUUUGAACCGCAUGGUUCAAAAGUGAAAGACGGUCUUGCUGGCACUUAUAGAUGGAUCCGCGCUGCAUUAGAUAGUUGGUAAGGUAACGGCUUACCAAGGCAACGAUGCAUGGCCGACCUGAGAGGGUGGUAGGCGACACUGGAACUGGGACGCGGACCAGAGUCCUACGGGAGGCAGCAGUAGGGAAUCUGACGCAAUGGGCGAGAGCCUGACGGAGCAACGCCGCGUGAGUGAUGACGGUCUUCGGAUCGUAAAACUCUGUUAUUAGGGAAGAACAUAUGUGUAAGUAACUGUGCACAGCUUGACGGUACCUAAUCAGAAAGCCACGGCUAACUACGUG
This 497-nucleotide ribosomal RNA is filed under the name uncultured bacterium. Its description in RNAcentral is "partial 16S ribosomal RNA". It matches the Rfam family "Bacterial small subunit ribosomal RNA", at positions 28 to 507 of the family's 1533-position model. The record is from RNAcentral.